GGUUAAGCGACUAAGCGUACACGGUGGAUGCCCUGGCAGUCAGAGGCGAUGAAGGACGUGCUAAUCUGCGAUAAGCGUCGGUAAGGUGAUAUGAACCGUUAUAACCGGCGAUUUCCGAAUGGGGAAACCCAGUGUGAUUCGUCACACUAUCAUUAACUGAAUCCAUAGGUUAAUGAGGCGAACCGGGGGAACUGAAACAUCUAAGUACCCCGAGGAAAAGAAAUCAACCGAGAUUCCCCCAGUAGCGGCGAGCGAACGGGGAGCAGCCCAGAGCCUGAAUCAGUGUGUGUGUUAGUGGAAGCGUCUGGAAAGGCGCGCGAUACAGGGUGACAGCCCCGUACACAAAAAUGCACAUGCUGUGAGCUCGAUGAGUAGGGCGGGACACGUGGUAUCCUGUCUGAAUAUGGGGGGACCAUCCUCCAAGGCUAAAUACUCCUGACUGACCGAUAGUGAACCAGUACCGUGAGGGAAAGGCGAAAAGAACCCCGGCGAGGGGAGUGAAAAAGAACCUGAAACCGUGUACGUACAAGCAGUGGGAGCACGCUUAGGCGUGUGACUGCGUACCUUUUGUAUAAUGGGUCAGCGACUUAUAUUCUGUAGCAAGGUUAACCGAAUAGGGGAGCCGAAGGGAAACCGAGUCUUAACUGGGCGUUAAGUUGCAGGGUAUAGACCCGAAACCCGGUGAUCUAGCCAUGGGCAGGUUGAAGGUUGGGUAACACUAACUGGAGGACCGAACCGACUAAUGUUGAAAAAUUAGCGGAUGACUUGUGGCUGGGGGUGAAAGGCCAAUCAAACCGGGAGAUAGCUGGUUCUCCCCGAAAGCUAUUUAGGUAGCGCCUCGUGAAUUCAUCUCCGGGGGUAGAGCACUGUUUCGGCAAGGGGGUCAUCCCGACUUACCAACCCGAUGCAAACUGCGAAUACCGGAGAAUGUUAUCACGGGAGACACACGGCGGGUGCUAACGUCCGUCGUGAAGAGGGAAACAACCCAGACCGCCAGCUAAGGUCCCAAAGUCAUGGUUAAGUGGGAAACGAUGUGGGAAGGCCCAGACAGCCAGGAUGUUGGCUUAGAAGCAGCCAUCAUUUAAAGAAAGCGUAAUAGCUCACUGGUCGAGUCGGCC
RNAcentral lists this ribosomal RNA (1118 nucleotides) under Escherichia coli. Its description in RNAcentral is "partial 23S ribosomal RNA". It matches the Rfam family "Bacterial large subunit ribosomal RNA", at positions 1 to 1159 of the family's 2925-position model. The record is from RNAcentral. Lineage: Bacteria; Pseudomonadati; Pseudomonadota; Gammaproteobacteria; Enterobacterales; Enterobacteriaceae.